GGAUCAUUACUGAAUUGCCAACACGGGUUGUUGCUGGCCCUCAAACGGGGGCAUGUGCACGCUCUGUUCGCACAUCCACACACACCUGUGCACCCUCUGUAGUUCUAUGGCAUGGAGGACACUGUCCUCCGGUUGUGGUUCUAUAUCUUUACACACACAUGCGAUGCAAUAAAGUCCCAUGGAAUGCACACCGCGUUUAACGCAAUACAAUACAACUUUCAGCAACGGAUCUCUUGGCUCUCGCAUCGAUGAAGAACGCAGCGAAAUGCGAUAAGUAAUGUGAAUUGCAGAAUUCAGUGAAUCAUCGAAUCUUUGAACGCACCUUGCGCCCUUUGGCUAUUCCGAAGGGCAUGCCUGUUUGAGUAUCAUGAACACCUCAACUCUCAUGGUCCGCCAUGAUGAGCUUGGACUUUGGGGGUCUUGCUGGCCUAUGGUCAGCUCCUCUCAAAUGAAUCAGCUUGCCAGUGUUUGGUGGCAUCACAGGUGUGAUAACUAUCUACGCUUGUGGCUUUCCAUCAGACGACCUUCAGCGAUGGAGGUGUCCACUGAAGCUCAUAAACGUCUCUCCUCAGUGAGGACAGCUCUUUGAAAGUUUGAUCUCAAAUCAGGUAGGACUACCCGCUGAACUUAA
RNAcentral lists this ribosomal RNA (631 nucleotides) under uncultured Tomentella. RNAcentral's name for it is "eukaryotic LSU rRNA". The stretch from base 214 to 368 matches the Rfam family "5.8S ribosomal RNA". The record is from RNAcentral. Lineage: Eukaryota; Fungi; Basidiomycota; Agaricomycetes; Thelephorales; Thelephoraceae.